GUGAUGAGGUACCUUUUGUAGAAUGGUCCGGCGAGUUAUUGUUACUGGCAAGCUUAAGGUAUUCAGUACCGGAGGCGAAGGGAAACCGAGUGUGAACAGCGCGUAUGAAGUCAGUGGCAAUAGACCCGAAACCGGGUGACCUAUCCAUGGGCAGGUUGAAGUGGGGGUAAAACCCCAUGGAGGACCGAACACACGCCCGUUGCAAUGGUCGGUGAUGACCUGUGGAUAGCGGUGAAAUUCCAAUCGAACUCGGAGAUAGCUGGUUCUCCCCGAAAUAGCUUUAGGGCUAGCGUUAACUUAGAUUACCGGAGGUAAAGCACUGAAUGGGCUAGGGGCCGAUAAGGUUACUGAACCCUAUCAAACUCUGAAUGCCGGAUAAUUGAUGGUUAGCAGUCAGUCUACGUGAGAUAAGUCUCGUGGACAAAAGGGAAACAGCCCAGACCCACAGCUAAGGUCCCAAAGAUACGCUAAGUGGAAAACGAUGUGGAGUUGCGAAAACAACCAGGAUGUUGGCUUAGAAGCAGCCACUCAUUAAAAGAGUGCGUAAUAGCUCACUGGUCGAGUGACUCUGCGCGGAAAAUAUAACGGGGCUAAGCGUAACACCGAAGCUUGGGCUUGUCGUAAGACAGGGGUAGGGGAGCGUCGUGUACGGGGUGAAGUCGCAGCGGAAGCAGCGGUGGACUUUACACGAGUGAGAAUGCCGGAAUGAGUAGCGAGAAUUAUGUGGGAAUCAUAAUGGCCGAAAAUCUAAGGUUUCCUGGGGAAGGUUCGUCCGCCCAGGGUAAGCCGGGAGCUAAGGCGAGGCCGAGAGGCGUAGUCGAUGCACAUACGGUUGAAAUUCCGUAGCCACCGAACCUUAAGCACACUGACACAUGGAGAUAGCGGGACCCGGGCGUUGGUUGACCCGGGCGUAAGGGACCGAAAUCAAGUAGGGAAGUCCGCGAUGCUCUGUGGCGAGAAAAGGUGUGAGGAAUGCUAAGGUGCCCGUACCGCAAACCGACACAGGUAGAUGAGGAGAGAAUCCUAAGGCCAACGGGAGAAGGGUUGUUAAGGAACUCGGCAAAAUGACCCCGUAACUUCGGGAUAAGGGGAGCCUCCUACGGGAGGCCGCAGCGAAUAGGCCCAAGCGACUGUUUACCAAAAACACAGGUCUCUGCUAAAUCGAAAGAUGACGUAUAGGGGCUGACGCCUGCCCGGUGCUGGAAGGUUAAGAGGAGAGCUUAGCGCAAGCGAAGGUUUGAAUCGAAGCCCCAGUAAACGGCGGCCGUAACUAUAACGGUCCUAAGGUAGCGAAAUUCCUUGUCAGGUAAGUUCUGACCCGCACGAAUGGCGUAACGAUUUGGGCACUGUCUCAACAGCCCACCCGGCGAAAUUGUUGUACUGGUGAAGAAGCCAGUUACCCGCAACUAGACGGAAAGACCCCAUGGAGCUUUACUGUAGCUUAAUACUGGAAAUCGGUAAAUCAUGUACAGGAUAGGUGGGAGACUUGGAAGCCAGGGCGUCAGCUUUGGUGGAGUCACCCUUGGGAUACCACCCUUGAUUUGCUGGUUUUCUAACCUGCGGCCGUGAAUCCGGUCGGGGGACACUGUUAGGUGGGCAGUUUGACUGGGGCGGUCGCCUCCUAAAAGGUAACGGAGGCGCUCAAAGGUUCGUUCAGCACGGACGGAAACCGUGCAGUGAGUGUAAACGCAUAAACGAGCCUAACUGCGAGACCGACGGGUCGAGCAGUAACGAAAGUUGGAGUUAGUGAUCCGGCGGUAUGCAAGUGGAAGUGCCGUCGCUCAACGGAUAAAAGCUACCCUGGGGAUAACAGGCUGAUCUCCCCCAAGCGUCCACAGCGACGGGGAGGUUUGGCACCUCGAUGUCGGCUCGUCACAUCCUGGGGCUGAAUUCGGUCCCAAGGGUUCGGCUGUUCGCCGAUUAAAGUGGCACGCGAGCUGGGUUCAGAACGUCGUGAGACAGUUCGGUCCCUAUCUGUUGCGGGCGUAAGAGAUUUGAAGGGAGCUGUCCUUAGUACGAGAGGACCGGGAUGGACGUACCUCUGGUGCACCAGUUGUUCUGCCAAGGGCAUGGCUGGGUAGCUAUGUACGGACGAGAUAAACGCUGAAGGCAUCUAAGCGUGAAACUCCCCCUAAGAUUAGAUCUCUCAUCCUUCGGGAGUAAGGCACGUCGUAGACUAUGACGUUGAUAGGUCGGAGGUGGAAGCGCGGUAACGCGUGCAGCUGACCGAUACUAAUAAGCCGAGGGCUUGACCUUA
Molecule: ribosomal RNA, 2257 nt
Filed under: Flavonifractor sp. An91
Lineage: Bacteria; Bacillati; Bacillota; Clostridia; Eubacteriales; Oscillospiraceae
Description: bacterial LSU rRNA
Rfam family: Bacterial large subunit ribosomal RNA
Source: RNAcentral